UUUCUGUGUUUCCACGAUGUCAGGAUGAUAACAAAUAAUGGAAUUAUGACCGGACAUAAACUGGAAACACCCUUUAUUUGACAGAUGAGGAAACUGAAGCCCACUGAGGUUAGUGACUCAUCCAAGGAUAUACACAAGUACUUAAUCACAGAGCUGAGCCUUGAUUUCUCAUACUUUUUCCUACUAUGUCACACUUGUCAUCAGUCCACAUUGCUGCAAUACUGAGCCUCCAGAAAGAAACAAUAGCUCUUCCUUUACAGUAUUUGCUGGCUCUCAGGGACACUUUACCCUGUCACAGGAACCAGAAAAACCUCUGACAGACUUCUUCCAGACCUCUGCAUUUUCUAAGUACCUACAUGUGUCUGUACCUACUUAGAUACCUAACAGGAAGCAUUGUUGUUUUCACUCAGGUGGAGAUGUAAGGAGACUCCAGUCAGCCAUUCAGAGAAAGUCAUGCUGAGAGGCCUAGCACAGCUCAGAAAUUGCAGCUCAAUAUGGGAAGCAAGAGAAAUAACGAUGCACCGAGGGAAAGGGGAAGAGACAUGGCAGGACUAACAAUGUUGUCCAGAGGUCCAUCACCAACUGUCCUGACCUAUGUCUUGCCACUGGACUCUGAUGACUCUGGAGGAGACAGAGAGGCUGAUGACUCAGUAUAGCCCUGACUCACUUAAAUCCAAUUCACUUGACAGUCAAGACAUCACCCUCCUGAUGUCAUUUGUCCUCCUCCAGAAUGAAGGAUGAACAACAAUCUGGGAGUUUGUCCACCAUGCCUGAAAUACUCUCGCUCCUCACCUGUGACUCUUGGAAUCCUUUGAAAUAUUCAAGGCAUCUCAAGUACCAACUCCUAGGUCCUCCCAGUUGUUAGCAAUUCUUCCCUUCCCUGAAAUUACUCUGUAUUUACUUUGUAUGUAUUUUGUACAUAUCUGUGUACAUGUUGUUUCCUUCAGUAAAAUAUAAGCCCCUUGAGGGCAGGGACUAUUAGAAUUUUUUUACUUGUGUCUCCAACCUCUGGCAUAAGACCUUGCACAUAGUAAGCCCAUAAUAAAUCUUUAGAAACAGCUAAGUGUUGCA
This 1071-nucleotide long non-coding RNA is filed under the name Phascolarctos cinereus (koala). RNAcentral's name for it is "lncRNA (ENSPCIG00000034952.1)". The record is from RNAcentral. Lineage: Eukaryota; Metazoa; Chordata; Mammalia; Diprotodontia; Phascolarctidae.